Molecule: long non-coding RNA, 727 nt
Organism: Nicrophorus vespilloides
Lineage: Eukaryota; Metazoa; Arthropoda; Insecta; Coleoptera; Silphidae
Exons: 3
Source: RefSeq, a predicted model, not a curated record
GGCAGGUGCAGUGAAUAUACUAGAAAAUCAAAAAUGAGUUCUCAGAAGCACUCAUCAAUCUAUUGUUGCCUCCUACAUGUUCUUUAGACAUAGUAUAACACACCUGAGUAUCAGAUGCAAUGAAAAUACUUGGAAAGCAAAAAUGUAAUUAUUCAUCAAAACCACAGAAAAAGACUGAAAGUAUUUCUCUCUUCAGGAUUACUCAGCAACACCCAUCAAUCUAUUGUUGCCUCCUAUAUGAUCAUUAGAGAUAGUAUAACAAUUCUGAGUGGACGACUCAGCAGCACUCAUCAAUCUAUUAUUGCCUCCUAUAUGAACAUUAGAGAUAGUAUAACACACCUGAGUACCAGAUGCAUUGAAAAUAAUGGAAAAAUUGAAAUAUACAUUUUUAAUCAAACCCUAGAAAGAGACUAAAAGUAUUUCUUUCUUCAGGACGACUCAGCAGCCUCCUACGUGAUUAUUAGAGAUAGUAUAACAAUUCUGAGUGGCAGGUGCAGUGAAUAUACUGGGAAAAUCAAGAAUGUAAUUUUUCAUCAAAGCACAGAAAGAGACUAAACGUAUUUCUUUUUCAGGACGACUCAGUAGAACCUAUUGUUGCCUAAUACAUGAUCCUUAGAGAGAGUAUCAUUUCUGAGUGCCAAGUGCAGUGACUUACUGGAAAAUCAAUUUUUUUCAUUUCAAUCAAAACCCCUGAAAUAGAAUAAAAGUAUUUCUUUCUUCAGGACGA